Molecule: small RNA, 125 nt
Filed under: Marmota monax (woodchuck)
Lineage: Eukaryota; Metazoa; Chordata; Mammalia; Rodentia; Sciuridae
Source: RNAcentral
GCUGGGCAUGGUGGAGCACGCCUGUAAUCCCAGAGGCUUGGGAGGCUGAGGCAGGAGGAUCGUGAGUUCAAAGCCAGCCUCAGCAACAGCGAAGUACUAAGCAACUCAGUGAGACCCUGUCUCUA